CAUGGGGGGGGCCUAUACAUGCAGUCGAACGAGUUCUGAUUAUUGAAAGGUGCUUGCAUCUUGAUUUAAUUUUGAACGAGUGGCGGACGGGUGAGUAACACGUGGGUAACCUGCCCUUAAGUGGGGGAUAACAUUUGGAAACAGAUGCUAAUACCGCAUAAAUCCAAGAACCGCAUGGUUCUUGGCUGAAAGAUGGCGUAAGCUAUCGCUUUUGGAUGGACCCGCGGCGUAUUAGCUAGUUGGUGAGGUAACGGCUCACCAAGGCAAUGAUACGUAGCCGAACUGAGAGGUUGAUCGGCCACAUUGGGACUGAGACACGGCCCAAACUCCUACGGGAGGCAGCAGUAGGGAAUCUUCCACAAUGGACGCAAGUCUGAUGGAGCAACGCCGCGUGAGUGAAGAAGGCUUUCGGGUCGUAAAACUCUGUUGUUGGAGAAGAAUGGUCGGCAGAGUAACUGUUGUCGGCGUGACGGUAUCCAACCAGAAAGCCACGGCUAACUACGUGCCAGCAGCCGCGGUAAUACGUAGGUGGCAAGCGUUAUCCGGAUUUAUUGGGCGUAAAGCGAGCGCAGGCGGUUUUUUAAGUCUGAUGUGAAAGCCCUCGGCUUAACCGAGGAAGUGCAUCGGAAACUGGGAAACUUGAGUGCAGAAGAGGACAGUGGAACUCCAUGUGUAGCGGUGAAAUGCGUAGAUAUAUGGAAGAACACCAGUGGCGAAGGCGGCUGUCUGGUCUGUAACUGACGCUGAGGCUCGAAAGCAUGGGUAGCGAACAGGAUUAGAUACCCUGGUAGUCCAUGCCGUAAACGAUGAAUGCUAGGUGUUGGAGGGUUUCCGCCCUUCAGUGCCGCAGCUAACGCAUUAAGCAUUCCGCCUGGGGAGUACGACCGCAAGGUUGAAACUCAAAGGAAUUGACGGGGGCCCGCACAAGCGGUGGAGCAUGUGGUUUAAUUCGAAGCAACGCGAAGAACCUUACCAGGUCUUGACAUCUUUUGAUCACCUGAGAGAUCAGGUUUCCCCUUCGGGGGCAAAAUGACAGGUGGUGCAUGGUUGUCGUCAGCUCGUGUCGUGAGAUGUUGGGUUAAGUCCCGCAACGAGCGCAACCCUUAUGACUAGUUGCCAGCAUUUAGUUGGGCACUCUAGUAAGACUGCCGGUGACAAACCGGAGGAAGGUGGGGAUGACGUCAAAUCAUCAUGCCCCUUAUGACCUGGGCUACACACGUGCUACAAUGGAUGGUACAACGAGUUGCGAGACCGCGAGGUCAAGCUAAUCUCUUAAAGCCAUUCUCAGUUCGGACUGUAGGCUGCAACUCGCCUACACGAAGUCGGAAUCGCUAGUAAUCGCGGAUCAGCACGCCGCGGUGAAUACGUUCCCGGGCCUUGUACACACCGCCCGUCACACCAUGAGAGUUUGUAACACCCGAAGCCGGUGGCGUAACCCUUUUAGGGAGCGAGCCGUCUAAGGGAUGU
RNAcentral lists this ribosomal RNA (1467 nucleotides) under Lacticaseibacillus rhamnosus. RNAcentral's name for it is "bacterial SSU rRNA". It matches the Rfam family "Bacterial small subunit ribosomal RNA". Lineage: Bacteria; Bacillati; Bacillota; Bacilli; Lactobacillales; Lactobacillaceae. The record is from RNAcentral.